UCAGAUGUAUUCUUCAGUAACGAAUUUUGACUUGAAAGUCAUGAUAUAAGGCAAGUCAAGAAAAUAAAUCCCCACAACAAUAAAUUCAGCUCUAGUGAGAUCAAGAAAUUUCUCCGUGAUCCAAAGUAUUCAACACUAGUCAAACUAUUAGGCCGUGAUCCAAAAUAUUCAACACUAGUCAAACAACUAUUAGGCUGAAGCAAGAUUUUAUAUCCAUUUCAAAAGAAUAAUUCUAUAACUUAGUGGUUCAAAAAUCCCCGAGU
This 263-nucleotide long non-coding RNA is filed under the name Daucus carota (carrot). RNAcentral's name for it is "long non-coding RNA (DCAR_LNC000664)". Lineage: Eukaryota; Viridiplantae; Streptophyta; Magnoliopsida; Apiales; Apiaceae. The record is from RNAcentral.